Molecule: ribosomal RNA, 468 nt
Filed under: uncultured bacterium
Lineage: Bacteria
Description: partial 16S ribosomal RNA
Rfam family: Bacterial small subunit ribosomal RNA
Source: RNAcentral
GACGAACGCUGGCGGCGUGCUUAACACAUGCAAGUCGAACGGAAAGGCCCUGCUUUUGUGGGGUGCUCGAGUGGCGAACGGGUGAGUAACACGUGAGUAACCUGCCCUUUACUUUGGGAUAACUUCAGGAAACUGUGGCUAAUACCGGAUAGGAGCUCCUGCUGCAUGGUGGGGGUUGGAAAGUUUCGGCGGUUGGGGAUGGACUCGCGGCUUAUCAGCUUGUUGGUGGGGUAGUGGCUUACCAAGGCUUUGACGGGUAGCCGGCCUGAGAGGGUGACCGGCCACAUUGGGACUGAGAUACGGGCCAGACUCCUACGGGAGGCAGCAGUGGGGAAUAUUGCACAAUGGGCGGAAGCCUGAUGCAGCAACGCCGCGUGCGGGAUGACGGCCUUAGGGUUGUAAACCGCUUUCGCCUGUGACGAAGCGUGAGUGACGGUAAUGGGUAAAGAAGCACCGGCUAACUACGUG